GGUGGGGAGGCAAAGUUCUAAAAAUGGCUGUUCGGCGUCUGCGUUUGGUGAAAUCUUCUCUAGAGAAAAAAUUAAUUUUCUCUAAGAAAAUAGUAGAAAAAAUGGCUCCCGGAUGAUUCCCGGACAUGGACUACAAGGACCCUGAACUAUGAGUUGGAAGCUCUUUGAGGCGUCUUCAGCUGGAGGAAAUCUGUCAGAAAAAGCAGUCUUCUCAGAAAUUUGACGCAGCUAAUGGAAGAAGAAAUGUGAUUCCUGUUCGUUCUCAAGAAGAUCACGGA
Molecule: long non-coding RNA, 278 nt
Organism: Phlebotomus papatasi
Lineage: Eukaryota; Metazoa; Arthropoda; Insecta; Diptera; Psychodidae
Exons: 4
Source: RefSeq, a predicted model, not a curated record